Molecule: transfer RNA, 72 nt
Filed under: Flavobacteriales bacterium
Lineage: Bacteria; Pseudomonadati; Bacteroidota; Flavobacteriia; Flavobacteriales
Description: tRNA-Thr
Rfam family: tRNA
About the family: Transfer RNA (tRNA) molecules are approximately 80 nucleotides in length. Their secondary structure includes four short double-helical elements and three loops (D, anti-codon, and T loops).
Source: RNAcentral
GCCGCUAUAGCUCAGUGGUAGAGCAUCACACUUGUAAUGUGGAGGUCUUGGGUUCAAUCCCCAGUGGCGGCU